Molecule: small nuclear RNA, 107 nt
Organism: Sarcophilus harrisii (Tasmanian devil)
Lineage: Eukaryota; Metazoa; Chordata; Mammalia; Dasyuromorphia; Dasyuridae
Source: Ensembl
GUGUUUGAUUUGGCAGCACAUAUACUAAAAUUGGAACGAUGUAGAAAAGAUUAGUAUGGUCCCUGUGCAAGAAUGACACACAAAUUCAUGAAAAUUUUUAAUGCAUU